AAGCACUCUACUACUCAGCAUGUCAUUGACACUUGAGUGGCUCUUCAGCUCUCCCAGGUUCGCUCAGGGGGGAGGACAGAGGACAAAGAAGCUGGCUGGGCCUUGCAACUCAGAGCAUCUGGGCUGGGAAAUGCAGCAGGACAUGGAAUUGGUGAAGAGUAAUUAAAGAACUAUGGGAACUCCAUUUUAGACCUGGUAGGUAUUAGUAGUAAAAGUUGUCAUUCAGUUUUAUUUUUGGCAUUUAUAAUAGGUUCAAAUAUAAAAGAAGAGACAACACCAAAAUAAAUAGAUCCACAGGGCAGUAAAUUCUUCCAAUGGUCUCAACGUCCUCAGUAAUUACUUGAUAGUUUCCAAUAGUAACUGCAUCUAUAGCCAUGCAUAUUUCCCCAUUUGAGGGAAAUCU
RNAcentral lists this long non-coding RNA (403 nucleotides) under Homo sapiens (human). RNAcentral's name for it is "HSALNT0041494". The record is from RNAcentral. Lineage: Eukaryota; Metazoa; Chordata; Mammalia; Primates; Hominidae.